GUGAACGCUGGCGGUAGGCCUAACACAUGCCAGUCGAACGGCAGCACAGUAAGAGCUUGCUCUUACGGGUGGCGAGUGGCGGACGGGUGAGGAAUACAUCGGAAUCUACUUUUUCGUGGGGGAUAACGUAGGGAAACUUACGCUAAUACCGCAUACGACCUACGGGUGAAAGCAGGGGAUCUUCGGACCUUGCGCGAUUGAAUGAGCCGAUGUCGGAUUAGCUAGUUGGCGGGGUAAAGGCCCACCAAGGCGACGAUCCGUAGCUGGUCUGAGAGGAUGAUCAGCCACACUGGAACUGAGACACGGUCCAGACUCCUACGGGAGGCAGCAGUGGGGAAUAUUGGACAAUGGGCGCAAGCCUGAUCCAGCCAUACCGCGUGGGUGAAGAAGGCCUUCGGGUUGUAAAGCCCUUUUGUUGGGAAAGAAAAGCAGCAGGUUAAGACCCCGCUGUUCUGACGGUACCCAAAGAAUAAGCACCGGCUAACUUCGU
RNAcentral lists this ribosomal RNA (490 nucleotides) under uncultured bacterium. Its description in RNAcentral is "partial 16S ribosomal RNA". It matches the Rfam family "Bacterial small subunit ribosomal RNA", at positions 29 to 506 of the family's 1533-position model. The record is from RNAcentral.